RNAcentral lists this ribosomal RNA (274 nucleotides) under uncultured bacterium. RNAcentral describes it as "partial 16S ribosomal RNA". It matches the Rfam family "Bacterial small subunit ribosomal RNA", at positions 523 to 796 of the family's 1533-position model. The record is from RNAcentral.
AUACGAAAGGUGCAAGCGUUGUUCGGAUUUACUGGGCGUAAAGAGAGUGUAGGUUGUUUAUUAAGUCGGAUGUGAAUUCCCGGGGCUCAACCUCGGAACUGCAUUCGAUACUGGUAGACUCGAGUUCGGGAGGGGUAAGCGGAAUUCCGUGUGUAGCAGUGAAAUGCGUAGAUAUACGGAGGAACACCUGAGGCGAAGGCGGCUUACUGGACCGAUACUGACACUGCGACUCGAAAGCGUGGGUAGCAAACAGGAUUAGAUACCCUAGUAGUCC